UACGGGAGGCAGCAGUGGGGAAUAUUGCACAAUGGGCGCAAGCCUGAUGCAGCCAUGCCGCGUGUAUGAAAAAGGCCUUCGGGUUGUAAAGUACUUUCAGUCGUGAGGAGGGUGUUAAGGUUAAUAACCUUAGCAAUUGACGUUAGCGACAGAAGAAGCACCGGCUAACUCCGUGCCAGCAGCCGCGGUAAUACGGAGGGUGCGAGCGUUAAUCGGAAUUACUGGGCGUAAAGGGCACGCAGGCGGUUAAUUAAGUUGGAUGUGAAAUCCCCGGGCUUAACCUGGGAAUGGCAUUCAAGACUGGUUAGCUAGAGUCUUGUAGAGGGGGUAGAAUUCCAUGUGUAGCGGUGAAAUGCGUAGAGAUGUGGAGGAAUACCGGUGGCGAAGGCGGCCCCUGGACAAAGGCUGACGCUCAUGUGCGAAAGCGUGGGGAGCAAAC
Molecule: ribosomal RNA, 439 nt
Filed under: uncultured bacterium
Lineage: Bacteria
Description: bacterial SSU rRNA
Rfam family: Bacterial small subunit ribosomal RNA
Source: RNAcentral